CCUACGGUGAGCAGCAGUAGGGAAUUUUCGUCAAUGGGCGCAAGCCUGAACGAGCAAUGCCGCGUGAACGAGGAAGGUCUUCGGAUCGUAAAGUUCUGUUGAAGGGGAAAAAGAGCGGAGAGAGGAAAUGGUCUCCGAUUGAUAUUACCCUUCGAGGAAGUCACGGCUAACUCCGUGCCAGCAGCCGCGGUAAUACGGAGGAUUCAAGCGUUAUCCGGAUUUAUUGGGUUUAAAGGGUGCGUAGGCGGUCGGAUAAGUUAGAGGUGAAAUCCCGAGGCUCAACCUCGGAAUUGCCUCUGAUACUGUUCGGCUAGAGAGUAGUUGCGGUAGGCGGAAUGUAUGGUGUAGCGGUGAAAUGCUUAGAGAUCAUACAGAACACCGAUUGCGAAGGCAGCUUACCAAGCUACUUCUGACGUUGAGGCACGAAAGCGUGGGGAGCAAACAGGAUUAGAUACCCGAGUAGUC
This 465-nucleotide ribosomal RNA is filed under the name uncultured bacterium. Its description in RNAcentral is "partial 16S ribosomal RNA". It matches the Rfam family "Bacterial small subunit ribosomal RNA", at positions 338 to 795 of the family's 1533-position model. The record is from RNAcentral.